GCCUAUGCUAUUAUUCUGAAGCAGUUAAGUUUUGGAGAAAAAAAAUAGUACACAGUUAUAAGGCCAGGAAUUUAUAAACAUUCAUAAUAAAUGUUUGAAGUUUGUAAAAUGUGGAAGUUUGAAGUUUUCUUCAGUGUAAGGAUGAAAACUAGAAAUAACAAUAGCACUUGCUUGAAAAAAAAUUCUUGACUUAUAUUGGAAAUUUAUAAUUUUAAACUUUAAUUGUUAUGUCUUUGCUGUGCCUACCAGUUAGAAAUGAGUUUACUAUAUUCUUUGUUUGGGUAUUGGUUGUAUUUCUAGGUAAAAAUAUUCUUCAUUUGAUUAUGACACAUUAAUCUUCCUUCUCGGUUUUCAUGUUUCAGGGCAAACUAACCAACAGAGGCUCACAGCUGAAAGGCUGAGCUUUUUGAACAAGCCCUUCUCCACUCCCUCCAGAGUUCGCAGGCAAUGCAUCCUUUACUUUUGAAGUUUUGCUGGAUGGAUCAAAUAGCUAUAAGCAUGAAAUUUGACACCUCAGUUUUCAUUCCAGUCCCAGAGAAAGGCAAUGCCAAAGAAUGCUCAAA
This 563-nucleotide long non-coding RNA is filed under the name Capra hircus (goat). Its description in RNAcentral is "lncRNA (ENSCHIG00010008005.1)". Lineage: Eukaryota; Metazoa; Chordata; Mammalia; Artiodactyla; Bovidae. The record is from RNAcentral.